CCGUAGGGUGCAAGCGUUAAUCGGAAUUACUGGGCGUAAAGCGUGCGCAGGCGGUGAUGUAAGACAGUUGUGAAAUCCCCGGGCUCAACCUGGGAACUGCAUCUGUGACUGCAUUGCUGGAGUGCGGCAGAGGGGGAUGGAAUUCCGCGUGUAGCAGUGAAAUGCGUAGAUAUGCGGAGGAACACCGAUGGCGAAGGCAAUCCCCUGGGCCUGCACUGACGCUCAUGCACGAAAGCGUGGGGAGCAAACAGGAUUAGAUACCCUGGUAGUCCACGCCCUAAACGAUGUCAACUGGUUGUUGGGUCUUCACUGACUCAGUAACGAAGCUAACGCGUGAAGUUGACCGCCUGGGGAGUACGGCCGCAAGGUUG
This 371-nucleotide ribosomal RNA is filed under the name uncultured organism. RNAcentral's name for it is "bacterial SSU rRNA". It matches the Rfam family "Bacterial small subunit ribosomal RNA", at positions 525 to 896 of the family's 1533-position model. The record is from RNAcentral.